Molecule: ribosomal RNA, 462 nt
Filed under: uncultured bacterium
Lineage: Bacteria
Description: partial 16S ribosomal RNA
Rfam family: Bacterial small subunit ribosomal RNA
Source: RNAcentral
GACGAACGCUGGCGGCGUGCUUAACACAUGCAAGUCGAACGGAAAGGCCUUUUCGGAGGUACUCGAGUGGCGAACGGGUGAGUAACACGUGGGUGAUCUGCCCUGCACUCUGGGAUAAGCCUGGGAAACUGGGUCUAAUACCGGAUAGGACCGCACUUUAGUGUGUGUGGUGGAAAGUUUUUUCGGUGUAGGAUGAGCCCGCGGCCUAUCAGCUUGUUGUGGGGUAAUGGCCUACCAAGGCGGCGACGGGUAGCCGGACUGAGAGGUUGGUCGGCCACAUUGGGACUGAGAUACGGCCCAGACUCCUACGGGAGGCAGCAGUGGGGAAUAUUGCACAAUGGGCGCAAGCCUGAUGCAGCGACGCCGCGUGGGGGAUGACGGCCUUCGGGUUGUAAACUCCUUUCGCCAGGGACGAAGCGUUUUGUGACGGUACCUGGAGAAGAAGCACCGGCUAACUACGUG